This 349-nucleotide unclassified non-coding RNA is filed under the name soil metagenome. RNAcentral's name for it is "partial contains 5.8S ribosomal RNA, internal transcribed spacer 2, and large subunit ribosomal RNA". The stretch from base 1 to 119 matches the Rfam family "5.8S ribosomal RNA", at positions 35 to 154 of the family's 154-position model. The record is from RNAcentral.
GAUGAAGAACGCAGUGAAAUGCGAUACGUAAUGUGAAUUGCAGAAUUCAGUGAAUCAUCGAGUCUUUGAACGCACAUUGCGCCCCCUGGUAUUCCGGGGGCAUGCCUGUCCGAGCGUCAUUGCUGCCCUCAAGCACGGCUUGUGUGUUGGGCCCCCGCCCCCCGGUUCCCGGGGGGCGGGCCCGAAAGGCAGCGGCGGCACCGCGUCCGGUCCUCGAGCGUAUGGGGCUUCGUCACCCGCUCCGUAGGCCCGGCCGACGCCCGCCGGCGACCCCCCCUCAAUCUUUCCAGGUUGACCUCGGAUCAGGUAGGGAUACCCGCUGAACUUAAGCAUAUCAAUAAGCGGAGGA